Molecule: ribosomal RNA, 497 nt
Filed under: uncultured bacterium
Lineage: Bacteria
Description: partial 16S ribosomal RNA
Rfam family: Bacterial small subunit ribosomal RNA
Source: RNAcentral
GAUGAACGCUGGCGGCGUGCCUAAUACAUGCAAGUCGAGCGAACAGAUGAGGAGCUUGCUCCUCUGACGUUAGCGGCGGACGGGUGAGUAACACGUGGAUAACCUACCUAUAAGACUGGGAUAACUUCGGGAAACCGGAGCUAAUACCGGAUAAUAUAUUGAACCGCAUGGUUCAAUAGUGAAAGACGGCUUUGCUGUCACUUAUAGAUGGAUCCGCGCCGCAUUAGCUAGUUGGUAAGGUAACGGCUUACCAAGGCAACGAUGCGUAGCCGACCUGAGAGGGCGAUCGGCCACACUGGAACUGAGACACGGUCCAGACUCCUACGGGAGGCAGCAGUAGGGAAUCUUCCGCAAUGGGCGAAAGCCUGACGGAGCAACGCCGCGUGAGUGAUGACGGUCUUCGGAUCGUAAAACUCUGUUAUUAGGGAAGAACAAAUGUGUAAGUAACUAUGCACGUCUUGACGGUACCUAAUCAGAAAGCCACGGCUAACUACGUG